AUUGAACGCUGGCGGCAUGCCUUACACAUGCAAGUCGAACGGUAACGCGGGGCAACCUGGCGACGAGUGGCGAACGGGUGAGUAAUGCAUCGGAACGUGCCCAGUAGUGGGGGAUAGCCCGGCGAAAGCCGGAUUAAUACCGCAUACGACCUACGGGUGAAAGCGGGGGACCGUAAGGCCUCGCGCUAUUGAAGCGGCCGAUGUCAGAUUAGGUAGUUGGUAGGGUAAAAGCCUACCAAGCCUAUGAUCUGUAGCUGGUCUGAGAGGACGACCAGCCACACUGGGACUGAGACACGGCCCAGACUCCUACGGGAGGCAGCAGUGGGGGAAUUUUGGACAAUGGGCGCAAGCCUGAUCCAGCCAUGCCGCGUGCGGGAAGAAGGCCUCGGUGUAACG
RNAcentral lists this ribosomal RNA (396 nucleotides) under uncultured bacterium. Its description in RNAcentral is "bacterial SSU rRNA". It matches the Rfam family "Bacterial small subunit ribosomal RNA", at positions 29 to 430 of the family's 1533-position model. The record is from RNAcentral.